UGAAAAGAAAAGAGAAAAGAAAAGAAAAAAAAAGAAAAGGAAAGAAAGGAAGAGAAAUACUGUCCCAUGGGCCAAGCAGUUCUGGUGUGGAGACUCUAGUUGCAGUCUGAUCACCUUCACUCACAGGCUGUGUGAUUAAACCAGGAAAAUUGAUGAUACAUCAUACAGAAAACUCAUGGAGGUCAGACAAUUUGCUUCCCACCUGGCAAGGAUGUAUUGGGACUUCAUGAAGACAAAAGUGAUUUUAGUUUCUCUAUUGGAUGAUGUCUUGAUCCACAGAGCACUUCUUAAGAGUCCUUGUGGGACCCAAGUCUCCAUCGGAAUCCUGUAUCCUGGGAGGCUAAUCUGCAGCACUAAAGAAGUGAAACUGUUCAUUAUUAGGAAGAUUAGUGGCUGAGUUGGAAUUUGGUCUUCUCACUUCAGGCCCCUCACUUUCCAACUGGAUUUGAGCAGAAAUCCUUCUUACCUGCAAAUUUAUCAGAUAACCUUGAGAAACUCUAUUGAGAGACCGCCUUCAUUUCUGCACACAACUUCUGGUUGGCAUGGUCCAGGUAGGACUGGUCCCUUGAAGAGCAGUAUAGGGCUAAGAGCAGAAGAUGGAGGUGAAUACAGGUGUCCACUGGGAGAGAAGAAGCAGCUCUGGAGGAAGCUCAUUCCCUUCAUCCCAGCAUCAGUCCCU
Myotis myotis is the source of this 679-nucleotide long non-coding RNA. RefSeq lists it as uncharacterized. Lineage: Eukaryota; Metazoa; Chordata; Mammalia; Chiroptera; Vespertilionidae. The record is from RefSeq and is a predicted model, not a curated record. The transcript has 3 exons.